GACGAACGCUGGCGGCGUGCUUAACACAUGCAAGUCGAACGGAAAGGCCCUGCUUUUGUGGGGUGCUCGAGUGGCGAACGGGUGAGUAACACGUGAGUAACCUGCCCUUGACUUUGGGAUAACUUCAGGAAACUGGGGCUAAUACCGGAUAGGAGCUCCUGCUGCAUGGUGGGGGUUGGAAGUUUCGGCGGUUGGGGAUGGACUCGCGGCUUAUCAGCUUGUUGGUGGGGUAGUGGCUUACCAAGGCUUUGACGGGUAGCCGGCCUGAGAGGGUGACCGGCCACAUUGGGACUGAGAUACGGCCCAGACUCCUACGGGAGGCAGCAGUGGGGAAUAUUGCACAAUGGGCGGAAGCCUGAUGCAGCAACGCCGCGUGCGGGAUGACGGCCUUCGGGUUGUAAACCGCUUUCGCCUGUGAUGAAGCGUGAGUGACGGUAAUGGGUAAAGAAGCACCGGCUAACUACGUG
Molecule: ribosomal RNA, 467 nt
Filed under: uncultured bacterium
Lineage: Bacteria
Description: partial 16S ribosomal RNA
Rfam family: Bacterial small subunit ribosomal RNA
Source: RNAcentral